GGCUCCGUAGUUCAACUGGAUAGAAUAUCAGAUUUCGGCUCUGAUGGUUGCAGGUUCGAACCCUGCCGGGGUCAC
This 75-nucleotide transfer RNA is filed under the name Flavobacterium sangjuense. Its description in RNAcentral is "tRNA-Arg". It matches the Rfam family "tRNA". From Rfam's summary of the family: Transfer RNA (tRNA) molecules are approximately 80 nucleotides in length. Their secondary structure includes four short double-helical elements and three loops (D, anti-codon, and T loops). Lineage: Bacteria; Pseudomonadati; Bacteroidota; Flavobacteriia; Flavobacteriales; Flavobacteriaceae. The record is from RNAcentral.